RNAcentral lists this ribosomal RNA (519 nucleotides) under uncultured bacterium. RNAcentral describes it as "bacterial SSU rRNA". It matches the Rfam family "Bacterial small subunit ribosomal RNA", at positions 777 to 1297 of the family's 1533-position model. The record is from RNAcentral.
AAUAGAUACCCCGGUAGUCCACGCCGUAAACGAUGUCGACUUGGAGGUUGUGCCCUUGAGGCGUGGCUUCCGGAGCUAACGCGUUAAGUCGACCGCCUGGGGAGUACGGCCGCAAGGUUAAAACUCAAAUGAAUUGACGGGGGCCCGCACAAGCGGUGGAGCAUGUGGUUUAAUUCGAUGCAACGCGAAGAACCUUACCUACUCUUGACAUCCAGAGAACUUGCCAGAGAUGGCUUGGUGCCUUCGGGAACUCUGAGACAGGUGCUGCAUGGCUGUCGUCAGCUCGUGUUGUGAAAUGUUGGGUUAAGUCCCGCAACGAGCGCAACCCUUAUCCUUUGUUGCCAGCGGUUAGGCCGGGAACUCAAAGGAGACUGCCAGUGAUAAACUGGAGGAAGGUGGGGAUGACGUCAAGUCAUCAUGGCCCUUACGAGUAGGGCUACACACGUGCUACAAUGGCGCAUCAAAGAGAAGCGACCUCGCGAGAGCAAGCGGACCUCAUAAAGUGCGUCGUAGUCCGGA